CCUACGGGGGGCAGCAGUGGGGAAUAUUGGACAAUGGGGGGAACCCUGAUCCAGCCAUGCCGCGUGUGUGAAGAAGGCCCUCGGGUUGUAAAGCACUUUCAGUGAGGAAGAACGCCUGGUGGUUAAUACCCAUCAGGAAAGACAUCACUCACAGAAGAAGCACCGGCUAACUCCGUGCCAGCAGCCGCGGUAAUACGGAGGGUGCGAGCGUUAAUCGGAAUUACUGGGCGUAAAGCGAGCGUAGGUGGCUUGAUAAGCCGGUUGUGAAAGCCCCGGGCUCAACCUGGGAACGGCAUCCGGAACUGUCAAGCUAGAGUGCAGGAGAGGAGGGUAGAAUUCCCGGUGUAGCGGUGAAAUGCGUAGAGAUCGGGAGGAAUACCAGUGGCGAAGGCGGCCUUCUGGACUGACACUGACACUGAGGUGCGAAAGCGUGGGUAGCAAACAGGAUUAGAUACCCUUGUAGUC
Molecule: ribosomal RNA, 465 nt
Filed under: Vreelandella stevensii
Lineage: Bacteria; Pseudomonadati; Pseudomonadota; Gammaproteobacteria; Oceanospirillales; Halomonadaceae
Description: partial 16S ribosomal RNA
Rfam family: Bacterial small subunit ribosomal RNA
Source: RNAcentral